Molecule: ribosomal RNA, 365 nt
Filed under: uncultured rumen bacterium
Lineage: Bacteria
Description: bacterial SSU rRNA
Rfam family: Bacterial small subunit ribosomal RNA
Source: RNAcentral
UUGGCUCAGGAUGAACGCUGGCGGCGUGCUUAACACAUGCAAGUCGAACGAGACGAUUGAAAGCUUGCUUUUGAAAGUCGAGUGGCAAACGGGUGAGUAACGCGUAGACAACCUGCCGCAAAGAUGGGGACAACAGUCCGAAAGGACUGCUAAUACCGAAUGUUGUCAGUUUCUCGCAUGGGAGACUGAUUAAAGAUGGCCUCUACUUGUAAGCUAUCGCUUUGUGAUGGGUCUGCGUCUGAUUAGCUAGUUGGUGGGGUAACGGCCUACCAAGGCGACGAUCAGUAGCCGGUCUGAGAGGAUGAACGGCCACAUUGGAACUGAGACACGGUCCAGACUCCUACGGGAGGCAGCAGUGGGGAAUA